CUCGUAGGCGGUUCGUCGCGUCCGGUGUGAAAGUCCAUCGCUUAACGGUGGAUCUGCGCCGGGUACGGGCGGGCUGGAGUGCGGUAGGGGAGACUGGAAUUCCCGGUGUAACGGUGGAAUGUGUAGAUAUCGGGAAGAACACCAAUGGCGAAGGCAGGUCUCUGGGCCGUUACUGACGCUGAGGUGCGAAAGCGUGGGGAGCAAACA
Molecule: ribosomal RNA, 207 nt
Filed under: uncultured bacterium
Lineage: Bacteria
Description: partial 16S ribosomal RNA
Rfam family: Bacterial small subunit ribosomal RNA
Source: RNAcentral